CACUGGCACAGGUGGGAGCUAGCCGCCAGGAUCCCGUCUCCCGCCCGGCGGGCACCAGCCGGCCGGCUGCGGCUGGGGCGCGCGGCGCGCCGCUUGAGGUGGCCGCGAACCACGUAGGAUACUCUUGGUACGUGGUGGUGACCACUGUGCCGCAGCGACCCGGCUACAGUAGAUGGCGAGCGGCGCGCGUCGCGUGCCGGCGUACUCCUUCCGUCCUUUCUAUGUGUCGCUUGGGAAGCGUACGUCCGUGGGCUGUGGGCACGCCGGUGCACGCGCGAUCGAUGGAGGGGACGCUACGUCGUCUGGGCCGUACGGCAGUCACCCCCCGUCGUCGUCAGAUGCAAGGAAACGCGCUGGGUUACUACUCCGGGGCCGGCCGGCGGCCUCGCGGGUGUCCUUCCUGACGACGGCAGCAAGCAGAUUGCGCAGGUGCUGCGACGCUGCGGGCAGGGCAUCUGCCGGGCCGCGAGCUGAGGAGCAUGCAGCAGCGACCACCAGCGGCAACAGCGCGCUGCCAAUGGCUGGCCCGGGCUGGUUCGAUCGGUCAGGCCGUCUCAGCUACAUGCGCCGGGCGAGAUGCCGUCAAGCUCUCAUCGCUCUGCGCGUGUUGGGUGUGUGUGCAUGCAGGGGGCCGAUGGAGGUGCAUCUGUGCUGAUCAUGCAUAUGAUCGGAGCACCGUUUGGACUUUGGAUGUGCUGCCAACGUGGACACAGCAGUAGUAGUACAGUACAUUAGUACAUACAUCCCAUGGUCCAUGGACACGCGAGCAGGAGAUAUCUCAAGGCACGUGUACUAUUGUACGCUGAGGGGGAGAAGAGGCUGAGGGGCUGAGUGCUGAGCCUGGAGAGGUAGGUCUAGGUGCUCUAGCUAUUUAUGCUAGUGCUACCUACGAGCAGAGCAGAGAAGCUAGGCAUGGUUAGCUAAGCUUCCCUCGGCCGGGUUUGGGAGGCGCCGCCCCAUGAUGUACCACUGCACCAGCCAGGGCCCAGGCGCGCGGGAGAGGUAGUACUGUAGUGGAACCGUAGGACGGCCAUGCGGCCUCCCGGAGGGACGACGACGCUGCUGCUCCACGAACCGCGGCGUGCACGCCGACUCUCCGCGUUGGACGAGGGUUGUGAGGGCACGCACGCCGGGAUAGACAGGGGCUAGCGAUCGGAGGAGCAGGACCGGUGGCCGGUGGUAGCUGCGGCGGUGCGGGUGGGGCCCGCGCGGAUAGCGAUGGUGCGAGCAGGCGCACCGCGACGACCACGACCGGCCCUGCCGCGACUGCGGCUGCAUUGUCAGCCGAGUUUUCGUGCCACGUCCAGAUAUUUACAAGGAGAGAAGGAAGAUCCUAUGUGUUAGAAGAGUUUCGUUCCCAUGGCACACAGGGAUUGUUAUCUACUCUCUCCGUUCUAAAUUGUAGGUCAUUUCAACUUUCUUAGAGAACCAAAUCAUUUCAACUUUCUUAGAGGAUUACAAAGAUUUACGGUAUGUACUAUGAAGAUAUUAUUAGCACUUUAUUGUAUAAA
Long non-coding RNA from Setaria italica (foxtail millet), 1511 nucleotides. RefSeq lists it as uncharacterized. NCBI's taxonomy places the organism in Eukaryota, Viridiplantae, Streptophyta, Magnoliopsida, Poales, Poaceae. The record is from RefSeq and is a predicted model, not a curated record. The transcript is spliced from 2 exons.